This 355-nucleotide unclassified non-coding RNA is filed under the name soil metagenome. Its description in RNAcentral is "partial contains 5.8S ribosomal RNA, internal transcribed spacer 2, and large subunit ribosomal RNA". The stretch from base 1 to 120 matches the Rfam family "5.8S ribosomal RNA", at positions 35 to 154 of the family's 154-position model. The record is from RNAcentral.
GAUGAAGAACGUAGCGAAAUGCGAUAAGUAAUGCGAAUUGCAGAAUCCGUGAGUCAUCGAAUCUUUGAACGCACAUUGCGCCCCUUGGUUAUUCCGAAGGGCAUGCCUGUUCGAGCGUCAUUAUCACCCCUCAAGCCCUGGCUUGGUGUUGGACUUUAGUUAUGGCUUUGCCUAUCAACUGGUCUCAAAGAUAGUGACGGCGCCCCAGAGGGAACCGGGUACGAGGAGCUUUUUACUAAGCAUGUAUCUGGGACGAAUCUGAUGGGCGACGGUCUUGUUAUACUUUUUACCUAAGAGUUGACCUCGGAUCAGGUAGGAAUACCCGCUGAACUUAAGCAUAUCAAUAAGCGGAGGA